Cheilinus undulatus (humphead wrasse) is the source of this 1767-nucleotide long non-coding RNA. RefSeq lists it as uncharacterized. The record is from RefSeq and is a predicted model, not a curated record. NCBI's taxonomy places the organism in Eukaryota, Metazoa, Chordata, Actinopteri, Labriformes, Labridae. The transcript has 4 exons.
GCUUUAAAAAGCGGCUGAGUCGGCCUUCAACGUCACUCUAUGGUUGGUCACAGGUAAAGGAAUCCAACUGAAGAGUCCCGAGCAGCCAAAGAAGGAGGAAACGCCCAGAAACGACGCCCGACAACUCCAGACAAAUCAAAGGAAAAACAAUAAGAAAUACUUGCAGAAUGACGGUUUAACUGGAGUUCCAGUCCAGGGAGGGACGAGUCUUUGAAUCCUGGACUUUCUGCACAGACGGUCUGAGAUGUGUGCCGUCUGCAGGAGGCUCUCAUGGGAUGCACCAAUGAUCAGAUCAGCGUCGUCAUUGGACGAUAUCGACGCAAACAUCAACCACCUGCAAAUAACAGCAUGAACCAACGGCAGAAGCCAGUGAUGGUCUACGAGCCUCAUACUGGACAAAAGACAAGCUGUGAUCCAACAGCGGUGCAUUUUUUAAAAUGUUUAAUUCCAUCUAAGGUUGUCUGGGGAUCCAUACACACUGUGUUUAACCCUUUAAACACACUACCACCAUAAAAUACACACCUGUACUGGCAUUUCUAAGCAGAUAUAUGUAGGUAGAUACUAGGUAGGUGGCUGGAUGGAUCCUCUGUUAAACACUAGAGAAAUUUAAGUACCCAGUAGCAUUUUCCAAGACACAACAUGAAACACCCGCUGCACCCCCCACUAUCCCAUGAGUAUUUUUAUCCUUGAAAAACUGGACAAAGAUCAAACAUUUAACCUUUAAGAUUAAAGUCACACUCAGAAAGAUAGAUUUAAAUAUUUGCAGGAAUAAAAGUUAAGCAUGUAAAGUGGUCUGACAUUUAGAGCACACAAUAAUCAGUCGUAUUGCUGCCCUGCAGCGUCUGCAGAGAACGGAUGAGUACCAGAGAGAGGAAGAACAUUCAGCAUGAGUCUGUGAUCAGUGAUCGAUGCAGAAAUCCUAAUCAGGAUUCUUCUGGCUGACACUGACAUUACAGUUAGACUGAUUUUACAUCAUCACACUGAAACACUUCAACAUGGCUCUAAUAGAACAUUCUAAGCACACAGAAAUAACACGCAAUAAUAAACAUCCAAUAAACUGAUGAUGUUUUGAGGUGAUGUGGCAAAAGUAGAACCACAAACACUCAAACAUGAGCCACACAUGACACAAUAAGAGUGUUUGGCACAGUGUUUAACAUGGGUUAUGACAUUUCCAUGACUAUGAGGCAAAAAUCUGAAUAAAAAUGAACUUGAUUGACCUCCCUGUCCAAAAAUAAAGUCUCUUUGACAAGAUUUUCUAUAGGAAAAAAAAAUAAUUUUAUAGUGUUUAUCUUUGUAUGGGGGUUCAUAUUCACAAAUAAACCAAAAAUACAACUGCAGUUAAAUAACAGCACUACAUCCUAUUAUUACAGACUAAAAGAUUAAAGACAGAAGACAGAGCAAAGAUUUGUGAGACCCUGAAAACAUCACUUUAGUUUGGUUUUUGCCUCAUUUAUAUGUGAAGUGUUUUACAUAUGAGUAUAGUUAUAUUCAUGUUUGUCUUCAUGUUUUUAUUGUCAUUCUGUGAUGGAGAAAGCCAAACUACAGACUCAGAAGGACAAAAAUAUCAUCAAAUAUCUGAAUGUUGUGUGCUGAAUUCUGCUUCAGAAUUCUGACUUUUACUGUUCCAGUCAUGACGCACAUCCUAAAACUCUGGAUGUUUCCCCCUUUAGAGGACUUUUCUAUAAGUCAUGUUUCUAUACUCUUGUUGAAAUGUUGUAUAUUUCUAUUUUUUGUAGUCUCAUUAUCAAAUAAAGAUUUUCAGCUGUG